RNAcentral lists this ribosomal RNA (1552 nucleotides) under Ureaplasma diversum. RNAcentral describes it as "bacterial SSU rRNA". It matches the Rfam family "Bacterial small subunit ribosomal RNA". Lineage: Bacteria; Bacillati; Mycoplasmatota; Mycoplasmoidales; Mycoplasmoidaceae. The record is from RNAcentral.
UAGAAUCCGUCAAUUUUUAAGAGUUUGAUCCUGGCUCAGGAUUAACGCUGGCGGCAUGCCUAAUACAUGCAAAUCGAACGAAGCCUUUUUGGCUUAGUGGUGAACGGGUGAGUAACACGUAUCCAAUCUACCCUUAAGUUUGGGAUAACUAGUCGAAAGAUUAGCUAAUACCGGAUAAUAACAUUUACUUGCAUGAGUGAAUGUAGAAAGUUGCGUUUGCAACGCUUUUGGAUGAGGGUGCGACGUAUCAGAUAGUUGGUGAGGUAACGGCUCACCAAGUCAUUGACGCGUAGCUGUACUGAGAGGUAGAACAGCCACAAUGGGACUGAGACACGGCCCAUACUCCUACGGGAGGCAGCAGUAGGGAAUUUUUCACAAUGGGCGAAAGCCUUAUGAAGCAAUGCCGCGUGAACGAUGAAGGUCUAUAAGAUUGUAAAGUUCUUUUAUUUGGGAAGAACCACUAAAAUAGGAAAUGAUUUUAGUUUGACUGUACCAUUUGAAUAAGUAUCGGCUAACUAUGUGCCAGCAGCCGCGGUAAUACAUAGGAUGCAAGCGUUAUCCGGAUUUACUGGGCGUAAAACGAGCGCAGGCGGAUUUGUAAGUUUGGUAUGAAAUCUAGAUGCUUAACGUCUAGCUGUAUCAAAAACUACGAAUCUAGAGUGUAGCAGAGAGUUGGGGAACUCCAUGUGGAGCGGUAAAAUGCGUAGAUAUAUGGAAGAACACCGGUGGCGAAGGCGCCAACUUGGACUAUUACUGACGCUUAGGCUCGAAAGUGUGGGGAGCAAAUAGGAUUAGAUACCCUAGUAGUCCACACCGUAAACGAUCAUCAUUAAAUGUCGGCUCGAUUAUGAGUCGGUGUUGUAGCUAACGCAUUAAAUGAUGUGCCUGGGUAGUACAUUCGCAAGAAUGAAACUCAAACGGAAUUGACGGGGACCCGCACAAGUGGUGGAGCAUGUUGCUUAAUUUGACAAUACACGUAGAACCUUACCUAGGUUUGACAUCUAUUGCAAUGCUAUAGAAAUAUAGCGGAGGUUAACAAUAUGACAGGUGGUGCAUGGUUGUCGUCAGCUCGUGUCGUGAGAUGUUGGGUUAAGUCCCGCAACGAGCGCAACCCCUUUCGCUAGUUAAUUUAUCUAUCGAUACUGCUACCGCAAGGUAGAGGAAGGUGGGGAUGACGUCAAAUCAUCAUGCCCCUUAUAUCUAGGGCUGCAAACGUGCUACAAUGGCUAAUACAAACAGCUGCAAUUCCGCAAGGUUGAGCGAAUCUGAUAAAGUUAGUCUCAGUUCGGAUAGAGGGCUGCAAUUCGCCCUCUUGAAGUUGGAAUCACUAGUAAUCGCGAAUCAGACAUGUCGCGGUGAAUACGUUCUCGGGUCUUGUACACACCGCCCGUCAAACUAUGGGAGCCGGUAAUAUCUGAAACCGUACUGUUAACCUUUUUGGAGGCAUACGUCUAGGGUAGGAUUGGUGACUGGAGUUAAGUCGUAACAAGGUAUCCCUACGAGAACGUGGGGAUGGAUCACCUCCUUUCUUCGGAGUAAAUUUUAAAUUUAC